UGUCUCCUCCACCCUCCUCCUUUGGUGGAUUUAGCCCAAAGUUGCAAAACUUUGGGCUUUUUUUU
RNAcentral lists this non-coding RNA (65 nucleotides) under Pelistega indica. Its description in RNAcentral is "Betaproteobacteria toxic small RNA". It matches the Rfam family "Betaproteobacteria toxic small RNA". From Rfam's summary of the family: Overexpression in amino aid rich medium attenuates growth, suggesting role in repressing amino acid intake and metabolism. Lineage: Bacteria; Pseudomonadati; Pseudomonadota; Betaproteobacteria; Burkholderiales; Alcaligenaceae. The record is from Rfam by way of RNAcentral.